AGAGUUUGAUCAUGGCUCAGGACGAACGCUGGCGGCGUGCCUAAUACAUGCAAGUCGAGCGAACAGAAGGGAGCUUGCUCCCGGAUGUUAGCGGCGGACGGGUGAGUAACACGUGGGUAACCUGCCUGUAAGACUGGGAUAACUCCGGGAAACCGGAGCUAAUACCGGAUAGUUCCUUGAACCGCAUGGUUCAAGGAUGAAAGACGGUUUCGGCUGUCACUUACAGAUGGACCCGCGGCGCAUUAGCUAGUUGGUAGGGUAAUGGCUCACCAAGGCGACGAUGCGUAGCCGACCUGAGAGGGUGAUCGGCCACACUGGGACUGAGACACGGCCCAGACUCCUACGGGAGGCAGCAGUAGGGAAUCUUCCGCAAUGGACGAAAGUCUGACGGAGCAACGCCGCGUGAGUGAUGAAGGUUUUCGGAUCGUAAAGCUCUGUUGUUAGGGAAGAACAAGUGCGAGAGUAACUGCUCGCACCUUGACGGUACCUAACCAGAAAGCCACGGCUAACUACGUGCCAGCAGCCGCGGUAAUACGUAGGUGGCAAGCGUUGUCCGGAAUUAUUGGGCGUAAAGGGCUCGCAGGCGGUUUCUUAAGUCUGAUGUGAAAGCCCCCGGCUCAACCGGGGAGGGUCAUUGGAAACUGGGAAACUUGAGUGCAGAAGAGGAGAGUGGAAUUCCACGUGUAGCGGUGAAAUGCGUAGAGAUGUGGAGGAACACCAGUGGCGAAGGCGACUCUCUGGUCUGUAACUGACGCUGAGGAGCGAAAGCGUGGGGAGCGAACAGGAUUAGAUACCCUGGUAGUCCACGCCGUAAACGAUGAGUGCUAAGUGUUAGGGGGUUUCCGCCCCUUAGUGCUGCAGCUAACGCAUUAAGCACUCCGCCUGGGGAGUACGGUCGCAAGACUGAAACUCAAAUGAAUUGACGG
This 926-nucleotide ribosomal RNA is filed under the name uncultured bacterium. Its description in RNAcentral is "bacterial SSU rRNA". It matches the Rfam family "Bacterial small subunit ribosomal RNA", at positions 8 to 916 of the family's 1533-position model. The record is from RNAcentral.